This 253-nucleotide ribosomal RNA is filed under the name uncultured prokaryote. Its description in RNAcentral is "partial 16S ribosomal RNA". It matches the Rfam family "Bacterial small subunit ribosomal RNA", at positions 524 to 776 of the family's 1533-position model. The record is from RNAcentral.
CACGUAGGAGGCGGACGUUAUCCGGAUUUACUGGGCGUAAAGCGCGUGUAGGUGGUUUGGUAAGUAGGGCGUGAAAGCUCCUGGCUCAACUGGGAGAGGCCGUUCUAAACUGCCGAACUAGAGGAUGGUAGAGGGAGGUGGAAUUCCGGGUGUAGCGGUGGAAUGCGCAGAUAUCCGGAGGAACACCAGUGGCGAAGGCGGCUUUCUGGCCAGUUACUGACGCUCAUGCGCGAAAGCUGGGGUAGCGAACCGG